Molecule: long non-coding RNA, 263 nt
Filed under: Equus asinus (donkey)
Lineage: Eukaryota; Metazoa; Chordata; Mammalia; Perissodactyla; Equidae
Description: lncRNA (ENSEASG00005025339.1)
Source: RNAcentral
GCCGAGCGCGCGCGGAGCGGCGCAGCGCGAGCGGCGGGGCGAGCGGGGCCUGCGGAGGCCGAGCCCGGAGGGAGGGACCGUACGGCUUCGGUGCGAGCAACACCGCGGCGCUCCCGCUGCCGCCGGCGGGGGAGCCGGGCAAGAUGCAGCCAGGGUUUCUACUAGGAAACCGCUCAGCUGGGCCCUGCAGGGGCCGACGAAUGGUGAGAGUCACCUGGCUUUUAAGGCAUUUCAGAGACACCUACCCGUAGUCCCGCUCCUCA